RNAcentral lists this ribosomal RNA (278 nucleotides) under uncultured bacterium. RNAcentral describes it as "partial 16S ribosomal RNA". It matches the Rfam family "Bacterial small subunit ribosomal RNA", at positions 333 to 603 of the family's 1533-position model. The record is from RNAcentral.
UGUGCCCUACGGGAGGCAGCAGUGGGGAAUUUUGGACAAUGGGCGCAAGCCUGAUCCAGCUAUUCCGCGUGUGGGAUGAAGGCCCUCGGGUUGUAAACCACUUUUGUAGAGAACGAAAAGACACCUUUUAAUAAAGGGUGUUGCUGACGGUACUCUAAGAAUAAGCACCGGCUAACUACGUGCCAGCAGCCGCGGUAAUACGUAGGGUGCGAGCGUUAAUCAGAAUUACUGGGCGUAAAGGGUGCGCAGGCGGUUGAGUAAGACAGAUGGUAAAUCCC